UGGGAUUACAGGUGCAUGCCACCACAUCCGACUAAUUUUUGUAUUUUAAGUAGAAACAAGGGUUCAUCAUGUUGGUCAGGCUGGUCUCGAACUCCUGACCUUGUGAUCCACCUACCUCGGCCUCCCAAAGUGCUGAGAUUACAGGUGUGAGCCACCGCACCCGACCCUGAUUCCUUUUCUUACUCCUUUCUCCCCUCCUCAGCUGCAGCCAUCUGGUUUUCUUGUUUUUUCUCCAACACUCCCUGACAAGCUCUUGCCGCAGGGCCUUUGCACUAGCUGUUUGUUCCUUCUGCUGGGAGAGCUUUUUCCCCAGAUAUCUGCUUUGACUCACUCACUCACCUCCUUUAAGUUCCCACUCAAAUCUCACCAUCUCAAUGAAGCCAACUCUGACAACUCUAGGAAUCUAGCAAGCCCUCCCUCCCCUCUUUCUCCGUCUUUCUCUGCUUUAUUUUUUCCUUUUUCCACAGCACCUAUCAUCUCCAGAAAUACAUAUAUUUGCUUGCUUAUUGCAUUCACUGUUUGUCUCCCCCUGCGAGAGGUCAAGAUCUUUGUUUUGUUCUCUGAUGUCUACCAAAUGCCUAGAAUAAUGCUUGCAUUUGGUAGGCACUCAAUAAACACUUUCUUAUAUGUGUAAUCCACGAGAUAAAUAUAAUUUUUAUCACUUUUACAGCAUCUGAAGGACGUAGUCUGGGGCCUGGCCCCAGAAGCUGAGGUACAAAGAAGGUAACAAACUUAAUCAGAUCACCCAGCCAAUAAGUAGUGGAGCUGAGAGUUGAACUAAGAAUCCUUGCACUUAGCCGCUACUUCAAAUUGCUUUCUUGAAACUUACAAAAUGGGAGCCUCAUGUAGGCUGCUUCCUGGAUUCCAGUGACUCACAUGAUCUAAUUAUUCUCUUUGCUCUGAGAAGGCUGCACUCCUACUCAGACUGGGGCUAGGUUUCACAUUUCUUUGUCUCCUAAGAUAUGUAAACAUGGUAUUUCAUUUUACAACAAAGACCUUUGAACUGGAUUGGAUCUUUCAUUCUGUCACGUUCUUGGGGCCCCACAACUCCAUGGACAGAAAGUGAGCACCACGAAGACAGGUCUUGUUGGAUAUUCUCUUUGUCCCUUUCUGAUUCCCCAGUGCCCAGAGCAAGAGACAAGGUCUUGCUAUGCUGCCCAAGCUGGUCUCAAAUUCCUGGCCUCAAGCGGUCCUCCCAUCUUGGCCUCCAGAAGCAUUGGGAUUACAGGCUCCAUGUUAGGUGCUGGAGAUACAGUGAUGAACAAGAUAUUCAAGGUACCUGCCUACCUGGAGUUUACAGUCUAAUUGAGGGACACAGGAAGGAAGCUGUACUGACCAUUUAUCUUUCACUGCUGCUCAACAAUUUAAAAAAUUCCUGUCUGUGAGACUCUGUCUCAAAAAAUGAAUAAAUAAAAUUAAAAGAAAGAAUACAUGUAAAAUGCUUAGCACACAAUAAACACACAAGUAUUGGUUCCCUUUCCUUUCCUCUUGUUUUCUGGAGGAUUUUUACUUAUUGUGGAAAAGAAAGCAAUCCUUUCAGCAUUUCCUUUUGUGUGUGUGUGUGUGUGUGUGUGUGUGUGUGUGUGUGUGUGUGUGUUUUCUUUUCGUUUUUAGAGAGGUCUUGCUCUGUUGCCCAGACUGGAGUGCAGUGGCGUGAUCAUAGCUCACUGCAGCCUUGAAUUCCUGGGUUCAAACGAUCCUCCCCAGUAGCUGGGAAUACAGGUUUUUAAACGUUUCUGAUGCAGCAGGAC
Molecule: long non-coding RNA, 1751 nt
Filed under: Homo sapiens (human)
Lineage: Eukaryota; Metazoa; Chordata; Mammalia; Primates; Hominidae
Description: HSALNT0004368
Source: RNAcentral